RNAcentral lists this ribosomal RNA (433 nucleotides) under uncultured bacterium. RNAcentral describes it as "partial 16S ribosomal RNA". It matches the Rfam family "Bacterial small subunit ribosomal RNA", at positions 29 to 507 of the family's 1533-position model. The record is from RNAcentral.
AACGAACGCUGGCGGCAUGCCUAACACAUGCAAGUCGAACGAGAAAUUCGGGUAUCGUGGCGCACGGGUGCUUCGCGCGAGUGACACUGCCCUUAGGUUCGCCAUAACCCCCCGAAAGGGGUGCUAAUGCCGGAUAAUAUCUUCGGGACCAAGAUUUAUCGCCUUUGGAUGGGCCGGGGUUGGGUUCGAUUGUUGGUAGGGUAAAAGCCUACUAAGGCUACGUUCCAUAGCUGGUCUGAGAGGAUGACCGGCCACACUGGGACUGAGACACGGCGCAGACUCCUACGGGAGGCAGUAGGGGGGAAUAUUGGACGAUGGGCGAGAGCCUGAGCCAGCAAGGCCGCGUGAGUGAGGAAGGCGUGAGGGUAGUAAAGCUAGUUUACCCGGGAAGAUAAUGACAGUACCGGGAGAAGAAGCACCGGCUAACUCCGUG